Non-coding RNA from Otolemur garnettii (small-eared galago), 299 nucleotides. The record is from Rfam. NCBI's taxonomy places the organism in Eukaryota, Metazoa, Chordata, Mammalia, Primates, Galagidae.
GCUGGAUGUGGUGUCUUGCACCUGUAGUCCUAGCUAUGUGGGAGGCUGAGACAGGAGGAUUGCUUGAGUACAGGAGUUCUGGGCUUAGUGCACUAUACUGAUUGGGUUUCUGCACUAAAUUCAUCAUCAAUAUGGUGACCUCCCAGGAGUAGGGGGCCACUAGGUUGCCUAAGAAGGAGUGAAUCGGCCCAGGUUGGAAACCGAGCAGGUCAAACCUCCCAUGCUGAUCAGUAGUGGGAUCGCGCCUGUGAAUAGCCACUACUAUCCAGCCUGGGCAACAUAGUGAGACCCUGUCUCAA